RNAcentral lists this non-coding RNA (29 nucleotides) under Mus musculus (house mouse). The record is from RNAcentral. Lineage: Eukaryota; Metazoa; Chordata; Mammalia; Rodentia; Muridae.
UGAUUCAGGCUUCUCAAGGAGGUGGUGUC